AUACGGAGGGUGCAAGCGUUACUCGGAAUCACUGGGCGUAAAGCGCGCGCAGGCGGUUUAGAAAGUCAGAUGUGAAAGCCUAUGGCUUAACCAUAGAACUGCAUUUGAAACUUCUAAACUAGAGUGGGGGAGAGGUCAGUGGAAUUAGUGGUGUAGGGGUAAAAUCCGUAGAGAUCACUAGGAAUACUCAUUGCGAAGGCGACUGACUGGAACUUAACUGACGCUGAGGCGUGAAAGCGUGGGGAGCAAACAGGAUUAGAUACCCCGGUAGUCC
RNAcentral lists this ribosomal RNA (274 nucleotides) under uncultured bacterium. Its description in RNAcentral is "partial 16S ribosomal RNA". It matches the Rfam family "Bacterial small subunit ribosomal RNA", at positions 523 to 796 of the family's 1533-position model. The record is from RNAcentral.